UAAAGGUAUUGUGUCCACUAAAAAAAUUUUACAACUAAAAAGAUUUUUUUAAAUGCACAUUGUAAAUUAGGCUCCAAAAUGUUUUAGAGCUUUCUAGAAGUCAAAAAAAGCAUGGUUAUUUGCAAGACCUUCAGGACAGAAAGUAGUUGCUUAGAAGAAGUAUAACUUUCUCAGGUGUUAGGCCUGGGAAAAAUUCUUUUUUUCAGAUAUUUAUAAAGUUGAUGCCAUGUGAUAUUGUGAACACUUCAUAACGAGCCUCCAGUAAAUAGUAUGAAGCUGUUUUGUUGUUGUUGUUGUUUUACAUGAGAAAUCUAUGCAGAGCCAACAUCUUUUUUUUUGGUACCAGGGAUUGAACCUGGGUGCUUAACCACUGAGCCAUAUUCCCAAUCCUUUUUGUUUUAAUUUUUGAGAUAGGAUCCUGUUAGGUUGCUUAGGGCUUCACUAAAUUGCUAAGGCUGGCCUCAAACUUGUAAUAUUCCUGCCUCAGCCUCCUGAGCUGCUGAGAUUAUAGGCAUGUGCCUCUGUGUCUGGCUCCAAUGUUCUGUAAUGUUGAUGUGUCACUCUUUGGAUGCAUAGUGUGAUCCAAGGAUGGAUUAUACAUUAGAUGAACAGACAGACCCCACGUUUUCUGAGCAGUGCUCCAUGAAUGUAUGUUUUGAGACUAAACCUUUGAUAAGCAUAGAAAAACUUUAUUCUUUUAUUCUUUCUUUGAAAACCUACAGUAAGGAAAUAUUUUAUAUUGUCAGUAAACAGCAGAUUCUUGAAUUUUAACACACCUAGCAGAGGGUAAGAUAAAUUCCUUUCAAG
This 807-nucleotide long non-coding RNA is filed under the name Marmota monax (woodchuck). The record is from RNAcentral. Lineage: Eukaryota; Metazoa; Chordata; Mammalia; Rodentia; Sciuridae.